CAGCGCCUCUUUGGCGCUCUGUCAUCAUUGCCGUCAAGCAACGGCGCGGCAGCCUCUCGCGACCACACGCCUCCACCUCGAUCUCGUUGGUUCGUUUUCCUUCCCAGCACGGCAUCUCCUUCCUGAGCAAUGCCGCCGUCACCGGGCACAACCUCGGACAUCUACCUCCUGAUACUGCCGGCCAUAUUUGGUUUUGUGCUGCCCUUCGUUGCUGCGAUCGGUUUCUACCAGUGCAUAUCCUACAGCCGUGCCAAAGCCAUCUACGAGAAGCGCAUCUUGGUCGUGCGGAAGAAACUUCGCCACCGACUGCGCCAGUUCAAGGCGGAAGGUGUCGUUACACCACGUCACAAGAUGCGCGAGCACGGCUUCAAGGACUUGUGCGAGCUCUCUAGCGAUGACGACGAUCACACCACUCCGGGCAGCAGUCCCAGGAGGGAGAACCACAGCCUGCCUAGCGACUCACGGACGUCCGAUCGAACAAACUCGCAGAGGUCUACCAACCGCAGCGGUGAGCCAUGCCCCUCUUUUGUGCUAGAAGAUGUGAGUAUGUUGGAGAGUGAGGAAGGUUCCUCGGACGAUUCGUGGUGAGCGGUGCGAGUCUGCUAUGCCCUUGCAACGUUGUACGGCGUCCUCUUCUUUGCCUGUGGUGUGCGGUAGCCAAUAUAUGUGUAUAGCCUGGCCACUUCCGUCUCUCAGAUGACCUCGAGCCGCGCCACUUCCUCGGGAACUUCUUGUUUCUUUUUUCCUCCAUAUAUCCCCCUCCCUCUUUUUUACUUCCAUCUGCUUUCCGUACAUCUCUCCCGCCUACCUUGACUGGAUGGCGCUCGUGGCGUCUGUUGUCUUUCCUUUUGGUUUUCUUCAUUGGUUGGAAUCUCAUGUCUUCCUUGUCCCCCCUUUUCGCUCUUGUCUGAUCCCCCCUCCCUAUUCUACGCAAACACGCACACACACACACCUCCCUGAGCGGUGCAUUCUCAUCUCUGUCUCCGUCUCUCUUCAUGUGGAUUGAAGCAGCGCCCAGCCUCUUUCG
Molecule: unclassified non-coding RNA, 1027 nt
Filed under: Leishmania donovani
Lineage: Eukaryota; Euglenozoa; Kinetoplastea; Trypanosomatida; Trypanosomatidae
Description: gene:LdHU3.31.4140(CDS-product:hypothetical_prote in_conserved)
Source: RNAcentral